Molecule: ribosomal RNA, 489 nt
Filed under: uncultured bacterium
Lineage: Bacteria
Description: partial 16S ribosomal RNA
Rfam family: Bacterial small subunit ribosomal RNA
Source: RNAcentral
GACGAACGCUGGCGGCGUGCUUAACACAUGCAAGUCGAACGGUGAAGGGACCAGCUUGCUGGUUCUGGAUGAGUGGCGAACGGGUGAGUAACACGUGAGUAACCUGCCCCCUUCUUCUGGAUAACCGCAUGAAAGUGUGGCUAAUACGGGAUAUUCUGGGUCUGUCGCAUGGCGGGCCCGGGAAAGAUAUUGCUUCGGUGGGGGAUGGGCUCGCGGCCUAUCAGCUUGUUGGUGGGGUGAUGGCCUACCAAGGCGGUGACGGGUAGCCGGCCUGAGAGGGUGGACGGUCACACUGGGACUGAGACACGGCCCAGACUCCUACGGGAGGCAGCAGUGGGGAAUAGUGCACAAUGGGCGCAAGCCUGAUGCAGCGACGCCGCGUGAGGGAUGGAGGCCUUCGGGUUGUAAACCUCUUUCGCCAGUGAAGCAGGCCUGCUCCUUGUGGGUGGGUUGACGGUAGCUGGAGAAGAAGCGCCGGCUAACUACGUG